This 71-nucleotide transfer RNA is filed under the name Clostridiales bacterium. RNAcentral describes it as "tRNA-Trp". It matches the Rfam family "tRNA". Rfam says of the family: Transfer RNA (tRNA) molecules are approximately 80 nucleotides in length. Their secondary structure includes four short double-helical elements and three loops (D, anti-codon, and T loops). The record is from RNAcentral. Lineage: Bacteria; Bacillati; Bacillota; Clostridia; Eubacteriales. RNAcentral also lists the same sequence under 1 other name.
AGGGGUAUGGUCAAGUGGUAUGACAGAGGUCUCCAAAACCUUUAGUGGGGGUUCGAUUCCCUCUACCCCUG